This 425-nucleotide ribosomal RNA is filed under the name uncultured bacterium. RNAcentral's name for it is "bacterial SSU rRNA". It matches the Rfam family "Bacterial small subunit ribosomal RNA", at positions 356 to 773 of the family's 1533-position model. The record is from RNAcentral.
GGGGAAUCUUCCACAACGGGCGAAAGCCUGAUGGAGCAACGCCGCGUGAGUGAUGAAGGCCUUCGGGUUGUAAAGCUCUGUUAUUCGGGACGAAAGAGCGCAUGGCUAAUAUCCAUGCGAAGUGACGGUACCGAAAGAGAAAGCCACGGCUAACUACGUGCCAGCAGCCGCGGUAAUACGUAGGUGGCAAGCGUUGUCCGGAAUUAUUGGGCGUAAAGCGCGCGCAGGCGGCCUUUUAAGUCCAUCUUAAAAGCGUGGGGCUCAACCCCAUGAGGGGAUGGAAACUGGGAGGCUGGAGUAUCGGAGAGGAAAGCGGAAUUCCUAGUGUAGCGGUGAAAUGCGUAGAGAUUAGGAAGAACACCAGUGGCGAAGGCGGCUUUCUGGACGACAACUGACGCUGAGGCGCGAAAGCGUGGGGAGCAAAC